RNAcentral lists this non-coding RNA (30 nucleotides) under Mus musculus (house mouse). Lineage: Eukaryota; Metazoa; Chordata; Mammalia; Rodentia; Muridae. The record is from RNAcentral.
UACAAGUUUAUAGAUGGUGAAGCUAUGCGG